UGGGGAAUUUUGGACAAUGGGCGCAAGCCUGAUCCAGCAAUGCCGCGUGCAGGAUGAAGGCCUUCGGGUUGUAAACUGCUUUUGUACGGAACGAAACGGUCUUUUCUAAUACAGAAGGCUAAUGACGGUACCUGAAGAAUAAGCACCGGCUAACUACGUGCCAGCAGCCGCGGUAGUACGUAGGGUGCAAGCGUUAAUCGGAAUUACUGGGCGUAAAGCGUGCGCAGGCGGUUAUGCAAGACAGAGGUGAAAUCCCCGGGCUCAACCUGGGAACUGCCUUUGUGACUGCAUAGCUAGAGUACGGUAGAGGGGGAUGGAAUUCCGCGUGUAGCAGUGAAAUGCGUAGAUAUGUCAUAGAACACCGAUAGCGAAGGCAGCUCACUAGGUCUGGAUUGACGCUCAGGGACGAAAGCGUGGGGAGCAAACA
Molecule: ribosomal RNA, 427 nt
Filed under: uncultured bacterium
Lineage: Bacteria
Description: bacterial SSU rRNA
Rfam family: Bacterial small subunit ribosomal RNA
Source: RNAcentral